RNAcentral lists this ribosomal RNA (292 nucleotides) under uncultured bacterium. Its description in RNAcentral is "partial 16S ribosomal RNA". It matches the Rfam family "Bacterial small subunit ribosomal RNA", at positions 505 to 796 of the family's 1533-position model. The record is from RNAcentral.
GUGCCAGCCGCCGCGGUAAUACGGAGGGUGCAAGCGUUGUCCGGAAUUAUUGGGUGUAAAGGGUGCGCAGGCGGAAGCCUAAGUCGGAGGUGAAAUCUUACCGCUCAACGGUAAAAUGGCCUUCGAUACUGGGUUUCUUGAGUCCAGAAGAGGUCGGUGGAAUUCGUGGUGUAGCGGUGAAAUGCAUAGAGAUCACGAAGAACACCAGUGGCGAAGGCGGCCGACUGGUCUGGAACUGACGCUGAGGCACGAGAGCGUGGGGAGCGAACAGGAUUAGAAACCCCGGUAGUCC